UGCAUAUUCAAAAAAGCGGAGGAAAAGAAACUAACAAGGAUUCCCCUAGUAACUGCGAGUGAAGCGGGAAAAGCUCAAAUUUAAAAUCUGGUGGUCUUUGGCCAUCCGAGUUGUAAUCUAGAGAAGUGUUAUCCGCGCUGGACCGUGUACAAGUCCCCUGGAAUGGGGCGUCAUAGAGGGUGAGAAUCCCGUCUUUGACACGGACUACCAGGGCUUUGUGAUGCACUCUCAAAGAGUCGAGUUGUUUGGGAAUGCAGCUCAAAAUGGGUGGUAAAUUCCAUCUAAAGCUAAAUAUUGGCGAGAGACCGAUAGCGAACAAGUACCGUGAGGGAAAGAUGAAAAGAACUUUGGAAAGAGAGUUAAACAGUACGUGAAAUUGUUGAAAGGGAAACGCUUGAAGUCAGUCGCGUCUGCCAGGGAUCAACCUUACUUUUGUGAGGCGUACUUCCUGGUUGAUGGGUCAGCAUCAGUUUUGGUCGCUGGAUAAAGGUCAGAGAAAUGUGGCACCUUCGGGUGUGUUAUAGUCUUUGAUCAGAUACAGUGGCUGGGACUGAGGAACUCAGCGCCGCAAGGCUGUCUUAGGAUGCUGGCAAAAUGGCUUUAAUCGACCCGUCUUGAAACACGGACCAAGGAGUC
RNAcentral lists this ribosomal RNA (636 nucleotides) under Pleurotus floridanus. Its description in RNAcentral is "LSU rRNA". It matches the Rfam family "Eukaryotic large subunit ribosomal RNA", at positions 37 to 675 of the family's 3401-position model. The record is from RNAcentral. Lineage: Eukaryota; Fungi; Basidiomycota; Agaricomycetes; Agaricales; Pleurotaceae.